Molecule: long non-coding RNA, 28946 nt
Filed under: Capsicum annuum
Lineage: Eukaryota; Viridiplantae; Streptophyta; Magnoliopsida; Solanales; Solanaceae
Description: long non-coding RNA (CANN_LNC004235)
Source: RNAcentral
AGCGAUGAGGUUGCUUUGAGAAUUGUUGAAGGAAAGAAGAGUAGGAAGUUGAAGAAAAGCCGCGUGGCUGAGCAGGAGAAAAUGCAUGAUACUGAGGAUGUACAGGAAGAUAUUGUUGCUGAAGUCGACGAAGGUGAUAUUUCUUCGCCUAUCAAGAUUGAAGAAAAAAACAGAACAGACAAUGGGAAUAUUAAAAAGAGGAAAAAGGUAAAAUCAGGACACAGCUCUGAAGAUCCUACGCAUGAAAUUGAAGAAGAAAACAGAACAGACAAUGGCAAUAUCAAAAAGAAGAAAAAGGUAAAAUCAGGACACAGCUCUGAAGAUCCUACACAUGAGAUUGAAGAAGAAAACAGAAAAGACAAUGGCAAUAUCAAAAAGAAGAAAAAGGUAAAAUAAGGACACAGCUCCGAAGAUCCUACGCAUGAGAAGAGUGCAAAGAAAGUGAGAUUUUCUGGUCAUGUUCAGAUUUUCCCUUCUUCUGAUGAUCCAAGUGAUGAGAAGCACGAGAUAGAGGAUGAAAAUUUACUGCGUGGCAAGCGAUUCUCAAAGCUAGAAGAUGAAAUUGUCAAAGAGGCUGUUCAUAAAUACGUAGAUUUUCAUAACUUGGGCGAAGAAGGGCUGAAAAAGAUUUUAAAUUCUAGAUCUUAUCCUGAAAUAAAGGGUUGCUGGAAAGAAAUAGGGAGUGCUAUACCAUACAGGCCUUAUACUGCAGUUUAUUAUCGUGCACAGAUCUUGUUUCGAAGGAGUGAAUCACGUAAAUGGACUGAAGAAGAGUAUGAGAUUGUACGAAAAUUCCAGAAAGAGCAUGGGAACAAUUGGAAGGUCUUAGCUGAUGAACUUGGAAAACAUCGGUUUCAUGUGAAGGAUACAUGGCGAAGGAUAAAACGGCCAAAUCAGAAUAAAGGACAAUGGACUCAGGAGGAGUACCAGUCUUUGUUUGAUUUAGUAAACACCGAUCUGAGACUGAGGCUUUCUGAAGAGAAGAGAUCUAAGUAUGGGAUGUUACGGGAUAAUAUUGCAUGGACUGCCAUAAGUGACAAAUUGUCCACGAGAACUGAGGCAAAUUGCUGCUUGAAAUGGUAUGAUCAAUUAACAUCACCCAUGGUGGCCAAAGGUGAAUGGGCGGAUGUUGAUGACUAUCGCCUAGUUGAUGCACUUUUUGAGCUGGACGCAAGCUGCAUAGAAGAUGUGGACUGGGAUAAUCUUCUUGACCACAGGCCUGGAGAGAUAUGUCGAAAGAGAUGGAACCAAAUGGUUCUUCACAUAGGUAAACUUAAAAACAGCUCAUUUGCUGAACAAAUAGAAGUUCUAGCUAAGAGAUACCGCCCGGAUUUCGCCGAAGUAAGAGAGGCUUGGGACAAUAAACCAGUCGUUCCAUGAUAUUGCCGAUCACUCAGCAGGGAUGUGUCUGUAGAGAGUUAGUUUACAGCAACACAUACUAUUGGCAACAACCCCCUUCCCCUCUCCAUUUUAGUAAAUAUUAGUAAAGAAUUUUAUUGAUUUGGAAGAGGUCCAGUAUUGUGUGGUGGAGAGAUCUUCACAGUUUGAUAUUGGACAGUUGUCUGUAGGGCAGGAGAUCAAUCAACUUCAACUGUCAUGAAUCUUAUGUUUCUCUUCCUUUAUCCAAAAUCUUUAUUAUCUGUAAUGCAUCUUUAUUUUCCCCCCAAUUUCAUGGCAUAUGCAUGUGUUUGGUGCUUCAGGUAUUCUUGAAUAUCAUGGUGUUAUUAAAACUUGUGUUGCAAAAUCGCUGGGGACACUUUACACCAGAAGCUAUACUGGUUGUGUUACUGUUGUUAUGUAUGCUGUGAUACUCGUAUAAAUUUGGCAGAUAUUGUAGCUUGUCAUCUUUUUGAUAAUAAUCUAGUAGUUACAGAAUUAUGCUUUCAACACAGAUGAGAGCCAUGGCAACUAGUUCCUGCUGUUUGUUGGCUGUUCCAAACCGGUUUGUCUGUUACUCUGUACCCUUUAAUUAGAAAAUGUUUGGCUAUUUGGCUAAUCCGCCUUGGCAAAAUAAAUCAACUAACCCAUUAAUUCCCAGACUGACCCGUUACAUUUCAGUUUGGCUACGCCCACAGCAUACUGAUUUCUGAACAAUUUGUUUCUACAUCCAGAUUUUGAUAAAAUCAUUAGGAUGUACCUGCAUCGGUAGCAUCUGAAGAUCAAAAGGUUCUUGCUUUUCGCGAUUUGAAUCCUCAAGCUCCUGUUGAUGUCCUAGUUAUCCCAAAAUCAAGGGAUGGAUUUUAAUUGCUGUGGUAUGUAUUCUAGCACAUAUUCCAUGUCUAGUUUCAAGGAAUGCACCUCUUGACUUUUGGUAUAGCACAAAUCACAAAUUGUGCUUUUGAUCUAAUAACAGAAGUGGAUAUUGGAAAAAAGGGGGAAAGAGAGCUGUAUUAACAGUGGCGGAUGCAGCUAUUUAGUUGGAUUGUGAGUUUAACGUGAAAUAUAAAUUUAUGGUAGUUAAAUUGGAAGCUUGAUUUUACUUUGUAGUACUUGCUCUGCAUCUCUCAAUGAUCAUUGAUCAGCAUGGUUAGAAGUUUCAGUGUUAGCAGGAUAUAAAGGUUAAUAGAGGUGAUUCACAACAAGAAACAUAAUAUAUACAGUAGUUGAUUUUAGCUCUCUGCGACAAUGUCACAUUGUGAAUGAUAUCUCAGCAUAAAAUGUGGUCUUAAAAAUUAUUUGAAGAUCCCUUCUUCCAUUGCACAAAAACCCAUCAAAAUGCAACGACAAUUGGUUCUUGGUCGCUCAUAUGGUUACAUAUUAUCAGUCAUUUUACUAGCUAGUUUAUGUCCUGUGUGUCUUCUUCUGCAUUAUUUUGUGGGUGUCUCCACAACCAAGAGAAUACCAAUUAAUCACUUUGAACAAUCCAUAAAGUUAAUAUGCAUGCUUAUAGCUCAGUUAUUAGGUAAAAUCUCAUUAAUUAACAAAAUGUCCAAGGAAAUGAAUUCAUCAAGACAUUGUGUUUCCUAAAUGCUAAAUAAACCUGCUUCUUAUACUCUUUUAUACCCAUUUUACUUGUUACAUUCCCAUAUUUUGAAUGGAUAAUAUCAAUUGACUCAUAUUUGGCUAAUAUCACAAAUAUACUACUGUAUCAUUUUGGCCAGCCCUUCAUGUGUCAUAAUUAGAAAUGCAUGACUCAUUCCAGUACGUCUCAGGAACAGAAGCAUACCAUACACUGGAAAAACAGUAGAAACAUGAGGAACCGAAGAGGAAUACUAGCGGAUUUGGACCAAGGAAAAUUAUCUUUAAAAAGGAACAUCAGGUGUGCAUGCAGCUAUUUUGUUGCCUUGUGUGGGGUUCAUAUGUAUUUGAUACGUUGACGUAAAAUAUACUAUUCAAUAAAAUAUAGAAUUUAAAUUCUGAAUGCGUCUGCUGGACAAGAAGAUCGAAGGCCACACCACAUUAGCAGAUAUACACGUAUAGUUACGUAUUUCAUGUGUAUCUGAUUAUGCAAAUUAUGCAAAAGACAAAUGAAAAAUUCCAGGCGUAACCAUAUUGAAGACUACAAUAUAGUUCACAUGAGACAUCAUGAGCAUUGCCUUACUGUCUCUUAAACAAAACAAAACAAUGCCGACACUAUAUAUAUCGUACGUGCUUCAAUUUGAAGCUGCCCCAUCAUCUUAUUUUACUAAAAUUUCUCUAGCUCCAAAUUUAACUUUUAUUACUAUUUUGGACCAACUUAUAAUAUGUCCAAUAGCAUGAAGAAGAAAUCUUUGCAACUUCCAAGGUAUCAACCACACAUCCACUAAAAUAAGAACAAAAUUAAUAAUGGUGUUUUCGUCUGUGACAAGUUAAAAAAAACGAAUAUUGAUUUGUUGACAAUUUAAUUUGGCGUAAUUAAUACUUCUACCGUUUAAAAAAAAAUAACCUACUUUAACUUGACACACAAUUGAAGAAAAUAAAGAAGACUUUUAAAUCUUGUGGCCAUAAAUUAAAGUUGUGUCUAAUGUAUCAAAAUAUCCUUUAAUCUUGUGGUACUAAACAAGUCAUGUGGAAAGUUAAAAUUAAAAUAUUACCAAAAAAGAAAAGGGAUCAUUUUUUUUCCGGAAAAGGUUCAAAAAUACCCAUGAACUAUCUGAAAUGGAUCAAAUACCCCUCGUUAGUUUUUUGGCUCAAAAAUAUCCCUCCGUUAAAUAUUUGACUCAAAAAUACUCCUCCCCUUAACAAAAUUCCACCAAGCAUGCCACCUAGAUUAAAAAAAAGCCACGUGAUCAUGCCAUGUCACCAUCCACGUGUCAAAAGUGUGAAUAACCACCUUUUCAAAUAUAGCCACAUUUACAAAUAUAACCACAUUACAUCAUCCCAUACUCGUCACCUCUUUCAUUCCAUCGCCACCGGUGAUUCUCUGAUGAGGACAAUUCAGUCAAUUCACCCUUUAAAUUCAAUCUAUUUCAAUCUAUCGUUAACAAAUCCAAUGAAUUCCUUGCAACAAUAACAUCCGAUUUUCCUUCUUCUUCUUUAGGACCUAAAAAGAGAAAUAACAGAUUAAGUUAAUUUACAUUACAAUAGUUGUUUGGCACUACAAAUUGAAGCAUAAAGAAGAAGUGAACUUAAUUGGCAGCUGGGCACACCUUAAUUAAUAAUUACCACACAUAGAUUACAGAAGGAUCACAACAACACAGAGCUGCUAGACUGCAACAAAUCACAACACAAAAGGGAAAAUGAAUAAAAACGAGAAAUGCAGAAAAAAAAUGAAAAAUUACAUACUAACUAGUAACAGUUACUAUAGGUAAUUAUUUUUAUGUAAAUCAAAUUAGUCGCCACGACAAUUUUUAGGGGAAGUUACUCAUUUGAUCAUUCGGCCAAAAAUACCCCUCGUUAGUUUUUUGGCUCAAAAAUAUCCCUUCGUUAAAUAUUCCUAAAAAAGAAAGCAGAUAAUUCUUUUUGAAAUGGAGGGAGUAGUAGCAAUGGUGGAGCCACAGCCGGCGAAGGGUGGUCAGAUGAACACCCUCGUCGGAAAAUUUUUUCGAGUAUAUAGGUUAAAUAUAGAUAUUUAUGGUUAUAUACAUGUUGUUGCACACCCUUGACAAGCUAGAGAAGCAUAGUCCAGUGGUCAAGAGUGUGCAUUUCCACAUUAACAACCUGGAUUUGAACCUUGACAAGGAAAAAUAUGAACACCCUUAAUCAAAAGUUUGACUCUGCCACUCUAGUAAAUAGAGCAAGAAAGUGGCAUCCAUUUACAUACCUAAAAAAACUACAAUACGUGACACAGAUUUCGAUCCUAGCUAGGUUAUAUGAUUUGGCAAAUACGUGGGUAGUGCAUUUGACUGUUUCAUAAUUCAUUAAAUAUAUUAUCUUAGUAAAAAGGGGACUUCGUUUUCAACUAGACCAUUUUGGUAAGAGGUAAUGUUACAUACACAUGUAGUAAAAUAUUUGUGAAUUUGUCUGAGAAUAGAUAGUAAGGGCGUAGAUGCUGACAUACAAACUACUUGUAACAAUUUUCUUGAUAUCUUGAAAGUCAAGAUUUUGAUGAGUUGGGUUGGGGUAUAGGGAGAUGGGGAGUGGGGUUGCAUGAUGGUGGGGAGGGGAGGCCAAAGUAAAGAGUCACAAGUCAAAUGAUUGAUGAGAAAAUACAUUGCAUUGUGGCACCACCACUGCUAACUAUAGUGUCACUUGUCAUUAUGGUUUUGAUAUGGACUUUCCCAUCCUAUUUUACGUGGCAUAUUUUAAUCGGACAUAUAAUUUAAGAAAUAAAAAAAUAUAUAUAUGUUGGUAUUUAUUAAAUUAUUCUUUGUUAUUAUCUUUAAUUAAGUGAGACUAAUAAGAAUAAAAGUAGAAUUAUAUCUUUAAAUAAUUAUCAAAUAAGAAAACAUGAUAUUUUUUAAAACGAAUAAAAAAAAAUGAUGACACAUAAAUUGAGAUUGAGACGGAGAGUGUAUAUGAAAAAUCUGGCUAAACGGAUUUACUUGUCCACCUCAAGCAGUCACAACUUUUCCUCCAUGAGCCCACCAACAUGACUUAUGUAACAAAUCAAAAUUUAAUUUAACAGGUAAAUUAAAUUUAAAUAAUUGUUGUCACAUAUGCAUACAUACGGUAUGUAAAUAAUAUGUUUAACGUAAAAAUAUUAUGUUCGGUUAAAGAUAAUUUCCAUCUACCGACUGCCAACGUAGCAUUAAUUAUAAUAACUAGUAGUGUAUGUGUAUAUAAAUAGGUAGCUAGGUACUCAUUUCAUCAGAUAUUAAAAACACCAAAGUUUUAGCAAAGCUUAAAUUUGCCCCUUCAACUAAAAGGGGCUCUCUUUCUAGCUCUUUNNNNNNNNNNNNUCUUUCCCUCUACACAUUAAAAUAUUGUUGUAGUUCUCCCAUAUAGCCAUAGCUAAACCUAAAUUAUUCUACUUUAACACAAUAUGAUGCCAUCAACUAUGACAGCAGUACAACUAUGUUGCUGCUUGUGUUUGGUUAUGGUUACAACAACGUUUGGGAGGCUACAUCCUCGAAAUCUCACUGACAACAGGUUGAUUCGUAGAAACCUCUUAGGCAAUGGCCUUGGUGGAACUCCUCAAAUGGGGUAAGAUAGAUAAUUCUUUUUUAUUUCAAGUUAUAUACUGUCGGUGCAUAAAAUUAAUUGUUAUUCUUCUUCUUGUUGUGUAACAUAUUGUUGAUAAUCGAAGAGUAUAGGUAUAUAUUGUAUGGUGUUGUCUUGAAAGAGACACCAUAUAUCAUAUAUGAAGGAAUGGUGUAGGUGGGGUUUUUAAAGAAAGCUCGUGAACUUGUCAAGUUGUCUACUUGCUUCUUGCAAAAAAAAAAUAAUAAUAAUAAAAAAAAUGAUUGAGUAAUUAAUUAAGUUCUAUAAAUUCAAAAACUUUUUACGUACAGGAAUACAAAAACAUUCAGACGAGCCAGUGUUUUAUUAUAUAAUUCUUUGAAUUUUCAUCGAUAUCAGGGAGAUAGUGGCCUAAGGCCUACUUUUUUAAGAAAAGAAAAAAAAAAUUUAAACAACAUGUAUUUCUAAGAAUUAUAUACUCGCUUUAUUCUAAUAGUUUUCUUUUAUUUACUAAUAUAAUUAGUGCAUUUAGUUUUUCUUGAGAUAUCAUAUUCCAGAUAUAUUAAACUUCUAAUAAUUCUUGUAUUUCAUAUAACAAUUUUUUUUCUACAGAUAAUAUCUGUUAUUGCUUAAAAAAAAUGAGGCUCGUAAAUUAGAGGUCAAAGAUAGUCACCUUUUUCAUAAGGGUAGAGUUGUCCCUAAUGGAUAUGAACCCCACUACCCACCUAUUAUUUAAGGGGUGGUGGGAUGUUUGGUUUGUGUACAAGUUAUGUAUACUAUAUGUUAGUUAAAAUUGGGAUUAGUUAGAUUGAAUUUAGUUAUUUAUUUUAUUAAAAUUAACCUGCAUUUUAUAAUUUCUUAAAAGAAGUUAUUUGUUCACAAGGUUAUCAUCUGAUUUAUUUAGUAGCAAAGGGAUUUCACGGGUAUUUUUGUUAUUUUUACUAUUUUAUUUCAAUAUAACUAAAUUCGUACUAGUACUUCACCAUCUAACAGGAUUAACUUAAUCUAAUACUUAUAUUUAAACAAAUAUAACUUAUCACAAAAUUAGUAACUAAACAAACAAUGCGGCGAUAUUAAAUUUCUAUCCUAUUUAUUAAGUUACUUGAUAAAUAAAUUUAAUGUAAUUAGACAUUUUAGUAAUCAUUUCUGUAUUGUAAUUACGACGAUGCGUUUGUUUAUCAAUUUACUUAAUUCCAUUUAAUUAGAUAGGUUACCGCUAAUCAUUCUUAAAGUCAGAGGGUCCGUUUGGAUAUGAAUAUUCCCUUUCCAAAAAAUAUUUUCAAAAUAAUACUAUUUGGUUAUACAUUAAAAUUAUUUUUUCCGUUAGUUUUAUAAAUUUGAAAAACUAGUGUUUAACCAUUUUUCCAAUUAAAAAUGCAGGUGAAGACAUAAUUUCAACUUUAGAUAGGAAUAACAUUUUUCUUUUUUUUUUUUUUUUUCAAUAUGACUAAAUUUAUGUCCAAACACCUACUAAAUUAAUGUCCUAUUGUUAUUUAUGGAAAAACAGAUGGAGCAGCUGGAAUCAUUUUGCUUGCAAUAUUCAUGAGAGUAUGAUAAGGGAAACAGGUCAGCAAAAUUAUUUUCUACUUAGAAAUGGCAAAGACAAGUGUCAACAAAUGAACAAACAAAUACUUAGUCCUACACAACAGUUGUCACUUUGUUGUUGUUUCUUGCAAAAAAAAAAUAAUAAUAAUAAAAAAAAUGAUUGAGUAAUUAAUUAAGUUCUAUAAAUUCAAAAACUUUUUACGUACAGGAAUACAAAAACAUUCAGACGAGCCAGUGUUUUAUUAUAUAAUUCUUUGAAUUUUCAUCGAUAUCAGGGAGAUAGUGGCCUAAGGCCUACUUUUUUAAGAAAAGAAAAAAAAAAUUUAAACAACAUGUAUUUCUAAGAAUUAUAUACUCGCUUUAUUCUAAUAGUUUUCUUUUAUUUACUAAUAUAAUUAGUGCAUUUAGUUUUUCUUGAGAUAUCAUAUUCCAGAUAUAUUAAACUUCUAAUAAUUCUUGUAUUUCAUAUAACAAUUUUUUUUCUACAGAUAAUAUCUGUUAUUGCUUAAAAAAAAUGAGGCUCGUAAAUUAGAGGUCAAAGAUAGUCACCUUUUUCAUAAGGGUAGAGUUGUCCCUAAUGGAUAUGAACCCCACUACCCACCUAUUAUUUAAGGGGUGGUGGGAUGUUUGGUUUGUGUACAAGUUAUGUAUACUAUAUGUUAGUUAAAAUUGGGAUUAGUUAGAUUGAAUUUAGUUAUUUAUUUUAUUAAAAUUAACCUGCAUUUUAUAAUUUCUUAAAAGAAGUUAUUUGUUCACAAGGUUAUCAUCUGAUUUAUUUAGUAGCAAAGGGAUUUCACGGGUAUUUUUGUUAUUUUUACUAUUUUAUUUCAAUAUAACUAAAUUCGUACUAGUACUUCACCAUCUAACAGGAUUAACUUAAUCUAAUACUUAUAUUUAAACAAAUAUAACUUAUCACAAAAUUAGUAACUAAACAAACAAUGCGGCGAUAUUAAAUUUCUAUCCUAUUUAUUAAGUUACUUGAUAAAUAAAUUUAAUGUAAUUAGACAUUUUAGUAAUCAUUUCUGUAUUGUAAUUACGACGAUGCGUUUGUUUAUCAAUUUACUUAAUUCCAUUUAAUUAGAUAGGUUACCGCUAAUCAUUCUUAAAGUCAGAGGGUCCGUUUGGAUAUGAAUAUUCCCUUUCCAAAAAAUAUUUUCAAAAUAAUACUAUUUGGUUAUACAUUAAAAUUAUUUUUUCCGUUAGUUUUAUAAAUUUGAAAAACUAGUGUUUAACCAUUUUUCCAAUUAAAAAUGCAGGUGAAGACAUAAUUUCAACUUUAGAUAGGAAUAACAUUUUUCUUUUUUUUUUUUUUUUUCAAUAUGACUAAAUUUAUGUCCAAACACCUACUAAAUUAAUGUCCUAUUGUUAUUUAUGGAAAAACAGAUGGAGCAGCUGGAAUCAUUUUGCUUGCAAUAUUCAUGAGAGUAUGAUAAGGGAAACAGGUCAGCAAAAUUAUUUUCUACUUAGAAAUGGCAAAGACAAGUGUCAACAAAUGAACAAACAAAUACUUAGUCCUACACAACAGUUGUCACUUUGUUGUUGUUUUAUUUUUUUCUUCUUUAAUUUUUGAUGUGGCAGCUGAUGCAAUGGUCUCUACUGGGCUUUCUUCACUUGGAUAUGAAUACAUCAAUAUAGGUAACUUCAUUUGUUCUUAAUUUACCAUGUUUAAUGAAUUAGAAUGGGUUUCUUUUCUUUAAGAUUAAUUAAUAAUGCGUUUGAAUUUAAAUACACACUUUAAAAAUGUAAAAAUGUGAGAUUAAAAUUUGAAUACUUGUAUAUUUAUUGUAUAAAAUUUAUCUUUAUUAUAAAUUUAAAUAAAAGCUAAUAAACUACUAGAUUAAUUUAAUAUUAUAUAUCAAUAAAAUAUUUUGAAAAAAUUAUGUGAUGGUUGGUUGGGGUAAUGACUAGCGAUAUUGUAAAUGUAGAAAUUGGAGAUGAUACUGACUUAUGACUUAUGAGGAGGUGUGAUCGAAUUGUAACUGGUGGUGAUGGUGAUUGUCAUAGAGGCUAUUGGUGAUUGACAUAAAGGUUGAUGGUGGUAGCGGUCGAUAAUUAUGGUGAAUGGUAGUGAUAGCUAAUGAUGGUAAUGAAUAAUGACAGUGGCUUGAUAUCUAAUGCCAAGACCAAUAAUGGUAGUUGCUGGUGAUGAUUAUAAGUUGUGGCUAGUGAUAGUGACAACUGAUUAUGAAUACAAUUGAUAAGUGACUAUUUUUGUAGAAAUGUUCAAAUAGUCAUUUUAAUGAUAUUAAGAUUUGUUAUAAAUCUUAGUCAUUCAAAUCUAUUCACGUUCAUUUAGUGCUUGAAACCUAAAGAAAAACAAAAUUUAAAUUUAAAUAAUUAAGAUUAACAUUAAGGUUAGUAAAAAUUUGCUUGCCAGUUUUAUUGCUAAUCAGUUAUUUGUCGUAUUUUAUUUCUUCAGAUGACUGCUGGGCGGAACAAAAUAGAGACUCACAGGUACUCUAAAUUGGUUCCCCUGUUUUUUUGUUGCCAAUUUCUUUUGUCUUAUUAAUUUAACGAAUAUAUAUAUAUAUAUAUAUAUAUANNNNNNNNNNNNNNNNNNNNNNNNNNNNNNNNNNNNNNNNNNNNNNNNNNNNNNNNNNNNNNNNNNNNNNNNNNNNNNNNNNNNNNNNNNNNNNNNNNNNNNNNNNNNNNNNNNNNNNNNNNNNNNNNNNNNNNNNNNNNNNNNNNNNNNNNNNNNNNNNNNNNNNNNNNNNNNNNNNNNNNNNNNNNNNNNNNNNNNNNNNNNNNNNNNNNNNNNNNNNNNNNNNNNNNNNNNNNNNNNNNNNNNNNNNNNNNNNNNNNNNNNNNNNNNNNNNNNNNNNNNNNNNNNNNNNNNNNNNNNNNNNNNNNNNNNNNNNNNNNNNNNNNNNNNNNNNNNNNNNNNNNNNNNNNNNNNNNNNNNNNNNNNNNNNNNNNNNNNNNNNNNNNNNNNNNNNNNNNNNNNNNNNNNNNNNNNNNNNNNNNNNNNNNNNNNNNNNNNNNNNNNNNNNNNNNNNNNNNNNNNNNNNNNNNNNNNNNNNNNNNNNNNNNNNNNNNNNNNNNNNNNNNNNNNNNNNNNNNNNNNNNNNNNNNNNNNNNNNNNNNNNNNNNNNNNNNNNNNNNNNNNNNNNNNNNNNNNNNNNNNNNNNNNNNNNNNNNNNNNNNNNNNNNNNNNNNNNNNNNNNNNNNNNNNNNNNNNNNNNNNNNNNNNNNNNNNNNNNNNNNNNNNNNNNNNNNNNNNNNNNNNNNNNNNNNNNNNNNNNNNNNNNNNNNNNNNNNNNNNNNNNNNNNNNNNNNNNNNNNNNNNNNNNNNNNNNNNNNNNNNNNNNNNNNNNNNNNNNNNNNNNNNNNNNNNNNNNNNNNNNNNNNNNNNNNNNNNNNNNNNNNNNNNNNNNNNNNNNNNNNNNNNNNNNNNNNNNNNNNNNNNNNNNNNNNNNNNNNNNNNNNNNNNNNNNNNNNNNNNNNNNNNNNNNNNNNNNNNNNNNNNNNNNNNNNNNNNNNNNNNNNNNNNNNNNNNNNNNNNNNNNNNNNNNNNNNNNNNNNNNNNNNNNNNNNNNNNNNNNNNNNNNNNNNNNNNNNNNNNNNNNNNNNNNNNNNNNNNNNNNNNNNNNNNNNNNNNNNNNNNNNNNNNNNNNNNNNNNNNNNNNNNNNNNNNNNNNNNNNNNNNNNNNNNNNNNNNNNNNNNNNNNNNNNNNCUUCAACUUCUCCUCUAUUUACAAAGCACUAGCCAAAGUAAAUUUUGAAAACGAUAUUAUAUAUAUAUAUAUAUAUAUAUAUAUAUAUAUAUAUCGUAAUCUGCAAGUUUGCGAUAACUUUAUAACUUCCGGUCGAAUCAUGUAUAUGUAUUAAUAUAACUUUACUUAUUAUAUGUGAAUAUUCGAUUAUUCUUUUAAAUUACUAGUCUCACUUAUAAUGGACAUUUAUAUGUAUAUCAAAUUAAAUGAUCUAAUAGUUUAAAAAUUCUGAAGCAAGUGUAUGGAGGUUUAGUUCUACUCGUAUUUAUUUCAAAGUUGAUGAUGAUAUUCUACGUAUUUUUGUGGUAUAUUACGUUGGCGAAAGAAGAAUCGAAGAAUUCAAUGAAUAGUCAAUUAGGUUAGUACUUAAUGAUUAAUAGAGUCUAGGAAUUAAUAAAAAUUAAGGAUUAAACAUUGGAUUUGGGAUUUUGGAUUAUUAAUGGUCAAUUAGAUUAAAUUUAGAGAUGUAUAGUAAACGUGAAAAAUACAAUCAACGAGCCAGGAUAUUCACUAAGAGGUUCAUAAGUGAACAUACGAACUAACCGAAGGAGGUUUAACAUAUAAUAUAUAUAUACAUAAAAGAUAAUUUUAAUCAUACAUAUAUAGCAUAAUUUUUCGCCGAAGGGAAUUUGGAUGAACCUUUGAGGGUAGCUCCGCCCCUGGUUGCCGGGACAAUCAACAUGAAAUGUUAUUUAUAGAACUUGAUUUUUGAACUCAGACAAAGAAAGUCAUUUUUUUAGAAAAAUAUAUUUUGAAAAAGUACUAGAAAAUCAGAAAAUAUUACAGCUUAUAAAUAACAAAUUUUGACAGGGAAAUAUGGUUGCUAAAGGUUCAACAUUUCCUUCUGGUAUUAAAGCACUAGCAGAUUAUGUUCAUGGCAAAGGAUUGAAACUCGGACUUUAUUCUGAUGCUGGGUAUAUUUUUAUACUAAAUAAUAGUAUCUUUUUUUUUUCCUAAAAAAAUUAUACUAGUAAUUAGAUAUAUUUAGUCAUAAUUUUGAUUUAAACAAGCCAUUUUUAUUUUUUAAUUUCUUGUAAUGCAGGACUCAGACAUGUAGUAAAACAAUGCCAGGUUCAUUAGGACACGAAUACCAAGAUGCAAAUACUUUUGCUUCCUGGGUAUGUUUGCUUGGCCUACAUGUACAUAUUUUAAGAUUAAAAAUAUAUAUUUAUACAUAAUGGUGGAGAUUUUAUUUGAGUUUAUUUUUGAGUUUAAUAGUCAAUAUUUAACUUGUGUUAUUUUUCUUAGGGUGUUGAUUACUUGAAGUAUGAUAAUUGUAACAACGAGAAUCGAAGUCCAAGAGAAAGGUACUACUUGCCCCUCCAAGUGCACUCGCUAUUUACAUCAAAUCAAUACACUUCAUUAUGAUUAAGUAUUCAAGAAAAAAAAAAACCUCAAAAAACAUAUAUUUUUGAAUAAAUUAAUUUAACGUAAACACCGAAUACGGAUAACUUUUUACUGUUUCUUCCUUUCUCAACAAGAAUAUACCUUUGUUUCUUCUUUUUAACAAUGUUUCCUUAAAUAAAACAGGUAUCCCACAAUGAGCAAAGCUUUACAGAACUCUGGAAGGGCUAUAUUUUAUUCUAUAUGUGAAUGGUGAGUGUACUUUUUGAAUGGCAUAUUUUAAAAAAAAAUCAUUUUUUUCAGUCGAUAUAUAUAUACACAAAUAAUAUAUUGAUUAUACACAUAUUAAUAUGUUAUUUUUCCCAAUUUCAGGGGAGGUGAUAAUCCUGCCACUUGGGCUUCUCCUGUUGGAAAUAGUUGGAGAACGACUGGAGAUAUUUCUGAUGAUUGGGGCAGGUAAAAUAUAGAUUUUUUUUUUUUAAAAAAAAAACAUACUUUUAUUUUCGUAAAUUCUUCUCUCAUUCUUGGUCGAAUUCGAUUAAAUACAUUUAACUCUCAAUUAAUUGAAAUUACGCUUUUGAUCUUUGCUUAUAGAUAUUCACAAAUGUAUCGUAGUUAUUAACUAGAUUUUAAAUAAUUCUACACGAAGCCUUAUAUGAUAGUGAACGAAGUAGUGAUGUUAGUGUGUUUCGCGUUGCAGCAUGACUUCGCGGGCAGAUAUGAAUGACCAAUGGGCAUCUUAUGCUGGUCCAGGUGGCUGGAAUGGUAUAAGUUUAAUUCACAAAAAUUUAUGCAUUUUAUUUCUCAUUAAUUAUUAUAAAACUAAAUUAAAUUUAUUAUGUAAGUUUAAUUUGCAGUGAUUUUACAUGGUGUUAAUUUGUUGUUUCAGAUCCAGACAUGUUAGAAGUUGGAAAUGGAGGAAUGAGCUUUGGAGAAUAUCGUUCUCAUUUCAGCAUUUGGGCAUUAGCAAAAGUCAGUUUUGAUUAUUAUUAUUAUGAAUUUAGUUUAAUUUAAUUUAAUAAAAUUCUAUUGGCAAAAAAUAGACUUUAAUUUGUUAUAUAUUAAAAUUAAUAUUUUUUUGUUUGUAGGCACCUUUGAUUAUAGGUUGUGAUUUACGAUCAAUGGAUCAGAGUGCUCAUGACAUUCUAAGCAACUCAGAGGUCAUUGCAGUUAAUCAAGGUAAACUAUUUUACUUUCUUUAAUUUCAGUUGCAUUUAUGUUUGACAACAAAAUUAGUCUAUGAAAACAUGAUCUGCAAUUGCCCUAAGUUUGAGCGUGUUAAUGACUUGUCCAUUUAAUAAUUCAGUCCAUUUUGAUCAAUCCAAUUCAUCUCAUCUAAAAGUCACUUCAGACAUAUGUUAUCUGAAGUUAGGCUUGACAAAAUGUUUAAAGUUACAUGUGAGUGAAGUUCAUGCAUUUCUACUUGAAAUUCAGGCAAAUAUGGUAGGACGUGAGUUGUGUACGACAAAAGUUUAAUAAUAUUUGUGCGACUUUAGAUAUUGUGUCUAAGGUCAUCCCAAAGUAGCUACACGUACAAAAAGAAUCUAAAAAAUGACCACAAAUUAAAUGAUGGCAUCAAAUUUGGAUAAUUGUGCACUUCAUCCACCAGUUUUACUAUUUCAAAUUCAGCUUAAUCCGCUCAUUUAUCACUCUUAAUUGCAUUCUAAUGAAUACUAAUGGUAGAAGACAAGAACAUAACAUGUUUAUAUUUGUUGAAAUUGGGAUCAGAUAAACUUGGAGUACAAGGUAGAAAAAUUAAGGAGUAUGGAGAUAAUUUGCAGGUAAUUAUUUUGAAAUGACUGACUCUCAAUCCCAAUUUUUAUUUUUAUUUUUAAAUUCCAAUGAAUUCAUUUUCUAAUACAAAAACUUGUAAAUAUUUAUACAUUGUUAUUGCAGGUAUGGGCAGGGCCUUUAAGUGGGAAUAGAAAAGCAGUAGUGCUAUGGAAUAGAGGAUCAUCAAAGGCUGAUAUAACUGCUCAAUGGUCUGAUAUUGGACUUGAUUCUUCUACUGUUGUUGAUGCACGAGACUUAUGGGCUGUAAGUCUUUCAUUUAAAAACUAUCUACGCGAACUCAAAAUUUGAAGUCAUGUCAAGCAUUACGCUGGAAAUAUAUUUAGCAAAAGUUAAAAGUUCAUGGCUUUUUUCACUCGAUAUUCAGUAUCGGGCGUUGGGGCAAGGGUUGGGUAUCAUGCAUUGUAACAUCUUUAAGGGGCUAUUAUGUUGAGUUUAUAUCUUUGAGGAGAGGAUUGUCCAAGACCAUAUAAAGAGACCAAGGACCCUUUAACCUACCGAUGUGGGACUCCAACAAUAAGUUUCACAAAAUGAUGCAUACAUAAAUAUUCUACGAAAUGUUUGGGACUUUGGGCCCGAUUAAUCCGAAUUUUUUAUAUGGAAAAGUCCCAUUUGGGGGUAAUGCGGUGACUCUACUUUCAGAGUCCGAACAAAAGAUCUCUUAUUAAAUUCUAAAGAAUAGAACAACACUUACCAGUCCACCAAAACAUUUAGCGAUAACAAUAUAUAUUGACUAGCUAUUUCCACAAAACAACAAUAAUCAUCUGUUAUAUAUGUUUCGAAGUUUAAUUUAAAUGACACUUUUUUUUUUAUCAUUUGGAUUGAAUUGCAGCACUCAACAAAAGGAUCAGUUAAAGGACAAAUAUCAGCCAGCGUUGAACCACAUGAUUGCAGCAUGUUUGUUCUUACUCCCAAAAAAUAAAUUCAACCCUAUUACUUUGCUGGGGAGAUGAAGAUGAUUUUCCAUGUCAAAUGUUAUAAUUUUUCUGAAAAUUAUACCACGUUGCUGGAGGAGUCAUACAUCAUUUAAUUAGGAAUAAGACGAAUAAAUUAAAGUAAUUUUGUUAGUAUUUAUAUUAUAGUUAAGACAGUUUCUUUGUAUUGUGUUAUUUUGUGUGGGACAAAUCUUGAUGUGAGCUAUACAUCAUAAUGCUUUAUGGUGCUAUCUUUUUUAUAUUUGGUCUUUGGAUAUAAUAACUAAAAAGACCUAAAUGAGAAUUUAAUCGUAUUAAAUAUGAAAAGAUUAUGACAUAAGUAGUAUUUUUUAUUAAGCUACCAAACUAUGAAAUGUCGUCUCACUUUCUCAUGUUCCUUUAAAUUAAUUGUUGAUGCAUAUGUUUUGAGAGACCAUUUUCGUUUUUUAUAUUCUUAUUAGUAGGAUAAUACUUAGUCGGGUCUAUUAAAAGUAAUCUUUUUGUUUCAUCUUUGGUGUAUAUCCUCUCAAAUUUAGACGUUAUCUUCUGCUACUUGGUAGAGGAUAUUUUAUAUAAUUCGAGAAUAAUUACAUUUUGAGCUUAUCAUCAUUCAAUCUUUAAGAACGUAAGGGAAAAAAAGAAAGGAGAGUUUAAGGACAUGACUUUAAAUCUGAAGUAAAAUGAAAAUGGCGUACAAGUUCAAUCGUUCGUUCGCUACAGAGUGUAAUUAUUGGGCGAAAAUUGUGGGAUGAUAGUGUAGCUAUGAUGAGAAAUGAGUAUAAGAAAUCACCAUAAAAUCCCUCAACAUUGGAAGGUAUCGACUGUCAAACUGUAAUAAUUAAAAGUAUUAGUAACUCUCCACUACCAAAUGAAAGUGUCAUCAUAUCUUUCACACUUGUAAUUUAAUUUUGGUCAACAAUCUUUAACAUGUUUUCCUUUAAUACAUCUAAACUCCGUAAAUUAUUCACUUUAAUCCGAUUCAGGUCCCACAAGUAUUUGCUCCAUUAGUUCAGCUUAAUUAGAAGUAUCAAAUAGGUAUUCGAUGUUCAAUAUCUACGUUAAAACCUGAUUAUAUUAAAAUUCAACUAUAUUAAACUGCUCCAAAAAAAAUCCCAUAUUAAAGAAUUAAGUAGUACUUUCUAAUAAGAAUGAUUCCAUAUCCAAGAUGUUCUUACCUCUGUGGAUACCUUUUUAUUUGAAUAUCUUAGAAUGUAAAUUUAUUUUUAGAGAAAAUGGUCAAAAGUUUUCUAACCUUUACUUCAAAUUCCAAUUACAUGCUCAUACUUUGCGGGGGUCAUAGGACCUCCCUGAACUAUUUUAAAGUGGAAUUAUUACCCUCAAAAUCUGACAACCAGUCAUUUUGGAUAAGGUGUGAUGCAUGCGCCAACAGUAUUUUGACAUGUAUUUUUUUUGUUUAAAAAUCAUUUUUUUUCUAUUUUUAUCACUUUUUAUCAUUUUUCAUCAUUUUUUCACCAUUAUUUUUUUCAGCAUUACUUUUCAUCUCUUUUCUUUUUGAAACUUUAUUAUUCCUACUUCUAUGCAAAUAAUUUUUCGACGACCUUAAAGUGAAAAAUAAUGAACUAUAUCAAAUUUGAAAUUUACAACGAUCUUGAAGUCGAAAAUAAUAAACAACAUCGAAUUUGAAAAUUUUCGACAACCUUGAAGUGGGAAAUACUGAUCAUAUUAAUUAUUAAGUUUCCGAUGAUCUUAAAUCUGGAAACAACGAAUGAUACCAAUUUCAAAUUUUUGAACGACCUUGAAGCCGGAAACAAUGAACAAUACGGAAUUUAAAAUUUUCGAUGACCUUAAAGUCGGAAACAAUAGAGAAUUUUAAAUUUUUCGACGACCUUGAAGUCGAAAAUAAUGGACAAUACCCAUUUUAAAAUUUACGAUGACCUUGAAGUAGGAAUACUGGGCAAUAUUGAUUUUGAAAAUAAUAAAUAACAUUGAAUUUAAAAUUUUCGACAAUCUUGAAGUGGGAAACAAUGAACAGUGUCAAUUUUAAAAUUUUCAACUAUCUUAAAUUCGAAAACAAUGAAGAAUACUAAUUUUAAAAUUUUCGAUGACCUUAAAGCUGGAAACAAUGAACAACACCGAAUUUAAAAUUUUCAAUAACCUUAAAGUCGGAAACAAUAGAGUAUUUUGAAAUUUUCAACGACCUUCAAGUCGGAAACAAUGGACAAUACCCAUUUUUAAAUUUACGAUGACUUUGAAGUCGUAAAUAAUGGAAAUAUCGAUUUUAAAAUUUCCUACAAUCUUAAAGUUAGAAACAAUGAACAAUACCCAUUUUAAAAUUUUCAAUGAAUUUGAAGUCGAAACUAAUAGAUUUUAUGCUUGGAGAUGAAGAAAAUGAUAAAUUAAUUUUGGAUGUCAUUGAUGAGUUCUUGGAUGCCGUUGUUUAUAAGAAAGAAGAAGAAGAAGAAAGAAAGAAAAUAAAUAAACAAAAAAAGAACAAUAAAAAUGAAUAAAGAAAAUAAAGAACAAUUAAAAAUGAAUAAAGAAAAUAAAGAAAUAUUAAAAAUAAUUUUUUAAUAAAAAAAAUUCGUUAAAGAGAGUGAAACACACUCUCUUACCAUGUCAGCGUUAAGGGGGAUAAUAAUUCCACUUUAAAAUAGUUCAAUGAAAUCAUAGGACCCCCACAAAGUAUAAGUGUGUAAUUAAAAUUUCGACUAAAGGUGGAAGGGGUAAUAGACCGUUUUCUCAAAUUUUUAAAAUAACAAGCUGUACUGUCAUUACCAAAACUAAAAAAUCAGGCAAACCACAGUUAGAACCGGAUCACUAGGGCUCAAAAGUUUAGCAUAGCCCAAGCCCAUCACUAAAGCCCAAAUAUCAAGCCCAACAAAAGAGCCCUUUUUCUACAGUCGCAGUGAAACCCUAAAAGCAAAGCAAAGCAAAGGUAGAUUAGUAAUAGUUCACAACCAACAAUGGCGGCAACUACACAGCAACCACGAACGCUGACGGCGAGAUAGGCAGACAUACAGAUGAUAUUAGCCGCUGAAGUUCACCUCGGCACUAAGAACUGUGAUUUCCAAAUGGAGCGUUACCUCUUCAAACGCCGCGCCGACGGUAAUCCUCACUUAAAUCGCUUAUAUUCGAAUUACUAAUAUCCUCAUUUACAGGAUUUUUUCUAGUAUUUGCGUGCUGGUAUCUGAAUAUAUGAUGGUAGAUUUGUCAGAAUAUCAUAUACCAGCGCAAUUUUCUUUUUGAGAGUCAAAUGAUAUCAACUUUGAUCGAUAUUUUAAGAUGCAUUAUUUUUGUUAUACUGAUCUGAUAAAAGAUUGUAAUUUGUAGCACUUUUGGUAUAGUUUUUAAAUAUCGAAUUAAUCUAAUUUAAUUUAGCUUUAUUAAAAUACAAAUAUCCUCAUUUACAACAAUUUCUAUAUUAUUUACGUGCCUGCAUUCGAAUAUAUGGUGGUAGAUUUGUAAGAAUAAGAUAUACUCUCUUUGUUACAAAAUACUUAUCACAGUUUCCUUUUUGAGAGUCGAGCAUUACGAAUGUUGGUUGACAUUUUAAGAUUAUUUUUUCAUUAUAUUGAUAUGAAAAAAUUGCAAUGUAGUUUUCGUAUAUUUGUUGUAAUAAUAAGACUACCAAUGUUGUAGGAGUGACAAACACUGAUAUUGAAUCUAAGAGUGAUGAUUGUGACAUCAAGAGAAAGAAAUAAAAGAAACAUGGAAAACAUUUUGAGAAGUUUAGUGAAGACUGCGAUGAGGUCCCGGGCCUGGGCCAAGGUGCACCUCUGCCCCGGCCUGGGCCCGGGCCUGGACUAUGGCAUUGUAAUAAGCCUUUAUGUGAGGAACUUGACUUAUGGGGUUGGAAUUCACUGCACUAUGCUGUUGAAUUAGGAUUGGAAGACGUAGUUUCUGAUAUGCUGGGGUUGAAAAAAUCCUUAGUGUACCUUCCGACAGGCAGUGAAAAUGACUGGACGACAGCAAUUCACAUUGCAGCCAGUGAAGGUGAUGUAAACAUGAUAAAUAAGCUGUUAAUCACUUCCCCGAUUGUUGGGAUAUGCGUAACAACAACAAUCAAAAUGCUCUUUAUGUUGCCGUACUGAACAAUCAAGACAAGGUAGUUACAUAAGAUGAAACACAGUAGGGGUGUUCAUGGUUUGGUUAUUAACCAAACUGAACCGCGAUCCAAACCAAACCGAUUAAAAAAAAUCGAUAUUUGGUUAGUUUUGGUUUGGUUUGGUUUUGAAUUUUAAAAAACCGAUAAUAAUUUGGUUUGGUUUGGUUUGGUUUUACUCUAAAAUAACCGACAAAAUAACCAAACCGAACUGAUAUAUAUAUAUAUAUAUAUUAUAAUUAUUUAUGUAUUAUUCAUAAAUACAAUAUAAGUAUUUAUUAAAUUUUAUAUUUUAAUCAUGAUUUAACUUUAGUCGUAACGCAUUAAGUCAUUUCUUCAUCUAGUUGAUAGUACCUUAUGAGAUUCUAAGUGAAUUUCGCACUUUGAAUGACAAAUGAUACUAAUUUUGAAAAUAAUAUCUUGUUGUAUAUUAAAAUUUAUAGCUGACAUUCAUUUGACUAUAGACAAUCAUUAAUUUUAACUUUUUUUUUGAACCUUGUUGAGCAAAAACUUUAUGUGCUCAGCACCUUUUGGAGGGUUUAUCAUAUCAUUCUGUUAAAUGUAGUUUUAAAAUAAUUUUUUAGAAGCAUUCAUAUGGUAUUGUUCAUAGCUUUGCUAAAGUAUAACACUCAGUCAGAGACAGAGCCAGGAUUUUAAGGAUUUCAAGUAAAGGGUUCAAUAUUCAAAGAAAACUAAGUCGGAAGGGGGUUCAACACCUACUAUAACCACAAAAAAAAUAAUUUUAAUCAUGUAUAAAUAGUAUAUUUUUCGGUCGAAGGGAGUUCGGACGAACCCCCUAAAGAUGGCUGGCUCCGCCUCUGCACUCAGUUGACAUCUUAGUUUCAAGGUUGAGAUACAACACCCGGUUAACUUCUCAUAUGUUAGAUUGGAUUCGUUUUUUUAAAUUUUCAACUUUUAUCAUUAGCUAAAGUUAUAAACCAAAGAAACCGAACCAAACCGAACUAAACCGACAGUUAUUUUUUUGUUUGGUUUGGUUUGGUUUUAGAAAUUUAAAAACCGACUAAGUUGGUUUGGUUAUGGUUUUGACCAAUAACCAACCCAUGAACACCUCUGGAUGAAAGCAAGAAGAUUUUACGUUCUAGUGCCGAAGGAUUUCUUAUUAGAACCCAAAGGGUGUGGCCUAGUGGUCAAUUAAGUGGGUUGAGAACGUGAGGCCUCAGGUUCAAAUCCGAGACAAAAAACACUAGUGAUUCUUUCCAUCUGUCCUAGCCGUCCUAACCUUGAUGGAUAAAGUUACAACAACAUACCCAUUGUAUUCCCACAAAGUGGGGCUUGGGGAGGAUAAAGUGUACGCAGUCCAUACCACUACCUCGGAUAAAGUAGAGAGGUUGUUUCUGAUAGACCCCCGACUUAGGACAGAUAACAGUAUAACCACAAAAAACAUAAAAAUAAACAAAUGAAAUGACACACCGCUAAAUAAUAAAAGAAAUAAGACACCAAUUGAGUAAUACUAUAAACUAUUCUAUUCGAGAUCACAAACAUCCUAAAAAAAACUACGAACAAGAAACUACGGGCAAGCUCUCCUCCCUAUUAUUGCGGAUGCACUCCUACCCACUAACCCUCUACCCUAAUUCACAUCCUCCGCACCUUCCUAGCAAGGGUCAUGUCGUCCGUAAGCUGUUGUCGCACUAUGUCAUGCCUAAUCACCUUCCUCUAAUAUUUCUUCGACCUACUCCUACCCCGCCUAAAAACAUCUGUAGUCGGCCUCUCACAUCUCCUAACUGGAGCAUCCAUGCCCAUACCAUCACAGCCUCACUUUCCGCAUCUUAUAUUACACCGCAGCCACUCACACAUACUCUCAAAUAACCUCAUUUCUCCUGGUAAGUCCACACAUCCAUCUCCACCACCUCCAACUUUUUGAUGUGGGAGUUCUUAACUAGCCAACACUCCAUUCCAUACAACAUAGUAAGUCGGACCAUCACUCUAUAUAACUUACCUUUAAGCUUAGGAGACACCUUCUUAUCACACAACUCAGAAAGCGACCCUCCACUUCAACCACCCUGCACCAAAAGUUGCAUGGUAUAUAUUGUCCUAGCCUGGGUGGUCCGAGCUACAUGGCAUCUGUUUCUGGUGGGAGAUGGCAAUCCAGUGUACUUAGUCGAGGUACGAGAAAGCUGGCUCACGCAUUAACGUUAUGAAAAGAAUUCCUUGUCAUCUAUCCAAAUCACUUAUCAAAAACUAUGAGAAUAAAGAAUUAGAAGUAAAUCGAAGAUGAACAAUCAGAAAAUACACACAAGCAAUAGAAUAGAAACUACUCAAUAUUUCAGCAUUGAGAUUAUACAAAACCAAUUCGCCACCCACCUGGGAUUUGUCGGAUGAAAUACAGAGAGAGAGAAAACUAACCACUCAAAGCUCGCGGAGAAAAUGGCAGCCGAGGAGGAAGGGUUUCAGUCGGCGGAGAGCUGCUGCAAAAAUGGAGAAAACGUUUGAGCUUGGGGGAAUUCAAGUCGACCAAAAAGACAGUACGGUCCCUUAAGUAUAGGCAUAUGAAUAUUUUGGCCCUGGUGUUUCAUAUUACACCUAUUGCACCUACUUGCCUUACAUACCGAGUUUGAAAUAAGAAAAGAUUUCGUGAUAUUCAUUAAAUUAUUUUUUAUUAAAAGUUACAUCACUACUAUUUAUAAUUAAGUGAGAUUUUAUAGUGAAAUCAAUAAAAAUAAAAGUGAAGUCGUGUCUUUAAAUAAUUAUCAAAAAAAAAUAUAUAUAUAAUAUUUUUUAAAAAACAAAACAAAGAAAUAGCACAAGAAAUAAAAGAAAAAGUCUCAAAUUGCAAAAUCUGAGUUAAUACAUAAAAAUAACCCUAAACUUUAUACCAAAUUAUAACUUUAACCUUAAACUUUGAUAGUGCACAAAUAGGACCUUUAACUAUUCAAAACUUGAACAAAUAUGACCUUUGAUUUUGCAAUCCCAUGCGUGAGUUUCACUCACAUCUACGUGGAAAGGUAAUUCAAUCACACGGUGCCACAUUGUUAAAAGGGCUGACUUGGAGGGAGAUCAUAUUUGUGCAGUUUUAAAUAUUUAAAGGUCAUAUUUGUGCACUAUCAAAGUUGGUUCAACAUUAAUAUACGUACAUAAAUAUAGAUUUUCUACCUUAUAUAUAUAUAUAUAUUAUAGUGUUAUUUGCUUUUCUUGGGUGCUUCCUUUAGCCUACUGCGCGGGUUUGAUUUUUUAAUUAAAAUAAAAGCUAGGUGUUGCAGCUAUAGAAAUAAAAAAUAAAAUAAUAAUAAUAAUAAUAAUAAAAACGACGCCUUUUUAACACAAAAAGCAAAACUUUGAGAAUGCAACUACAAUACUACAUCAACCUAACAAGAUUUUGUAAUUUACGUUUUCUACUUUGCAAUAAAUAUUAAAUAAUGUAAAUCAUUUUUUUAUAGUCUCAAUCUCAAAUCAAUUAUUGCCAACUCAAAGAAAAAAUAAAGUAAUUUUGUGAGGGCAAAUCGAUCACGUAACAUAAAUAUUCUUGUUUCUUAAAAAAAUAAAUAAAAACAACUAAUCUAAACAGAUCAAAUGAAUGCUUAAACAUUAAGGGAUUUAAUAUGAACUAAAUAAUGAAUCAUAAUUUAAUCUGUUCUAACUCUUAUCAAAUUUAAUCUUUAUAUAUAUAUAUAUAUAUAUAUUUUGAUAAUUAUUUAAAGACAUGACUUCAUUUUUAUUUUUAUUGAUUUCGCUAUAAAAUCUCAAUUAUAAAUAGUAGUGAUGUAACUUUUAAUAAAAAAUAAUUUGAUGAAUAUCACGAAGUCUUUUCUUAUUUCAAACUCGGUAUGUAAGUCAAGUAGGUGCAACAGGUGUAAUAUGAAACACCAGGGCCAAAAUAUUCAUAUGCCUAUACUUAAGGGACCGUACUGUCUUUUUGGUCGACUUGAAUUCCCCCAAGCUCAAGUGUUUUCUCCAUUUUUGCAGCAGCUCUCCGUCGACUGAAACCCUUCUUCCUCGGCUGCCAUUUUCUCCGUGAGCUUUGAGUGGUUAGUUUUCUCUCUCUCUGUAUUUUAUCCGACAAAUCCUAGGUGGGUGGCGAAUUGGUUUUGUAUAAUCUCAAUGCUGAAAUAUUGAGUAGUUUCUAUUCUAUGCUAUGCUUUGCUUGUGUGUAUUUUCUGAUUGUUCAUCUUCGAUUUACUUCUAAUUCUUUAUUCUCAUAGUUUUUGAUAAGUGAUUUGGAUUGAUGACGAGGAAUUCUUUUCAUAACGUUAAUGCGUGAGCCAGCUUUCUCGUACCUCGACUAAGUACACUGGAUUGCCAUCUCCUACCAGAAACAGAUGCCAUGUAGCUCGGACCACCCAGGCUAGGACAAUAUAUACCAUGCAACUUUUGGUGCAGGGUGGUUGAAGUGGAGGCUCGCUUUCUGAGUUGUGUGAUAAGAAGGUGUCUCCUAAGCUUAAAGGUAAGUUAUAUAGAGUGAUGGUCUGACUUACUAUGUUGUAUGGAAUGGAGUGUUGGCUAGUUAAAACUCCUACAUCAAAAAGUUGGAGGUGGUGGAGAUGGAUGUGUGGACUUACCAGGAGAAAUGAGGUUAUUUGAGAGUAUGUGUGAGUGGCUGCGGUGUAAUAUAAGAUGCGGAAAGUGAGGCUGUGAUGGUAUGGGCAUGGAUGCUCCAGUUAGGAGAUGUGAGAGGCCNNNNNNNNNNNNNNNNNNNNNNNNNNNNNNNNNNNNNNNNNNNNNNNNNNNNNNNNNNNNNNNNNNNNNNNNNNNNNNNNNNNNNNNNNNNNNNNNNNNNNNNNNGCGACUACAGCUUACGGACGACAUGACCCUUGAUAGGAAGGUGCGGAGGAUGUGAAUUAGGGUAGAGGGAUAGUGGGUAGGAGUGCAUCCGCCAUAAUAGGGAGGAGAGCUUGCCCGUAGUUUCUUGUUCGUAGUUUUUUUUAGGAUGUUUGUGAUCUCGAAUAGAUAGUUUAUAGUAUUACUCAAUCGGUGUCUUAUUUCUUUUAUUAUUUAGCGGUGUGUCAUUUCAUUUGUUUAUUUUUAUGUUUUUGUGGUUAUACUGUUAUCUGUCCUAAGUCGGGAGUCUAUCAGAAAUAACCUCUCUACUUUAUCUGAGGUAGUGGUAUGGAUUGCGUACACUUUAUCCUCCCCAAGCCCCACUUUGUGGGAAUACAAUGGGUAUGUUGUUGUAACUUUAUCCAUCAAGGUUAGGACGGCUAGGACAGAUGGAAAGAAUCACUAGUGUUUUUUGUCUCUGAUUUGAACCUGAGGCCUCACGUUCUCAACUCACUUCAUUGACCACUAGGCCACACCCUUUGGGUUCUAAUAAGAAAUCCAUCUGCACUAGAAUGUAAAAUAUUCUUGCUUUCAUCUAGGGGUGUUCAUGGGUUGGUUAUUGGUCAAAACCAUAAUCAAACCAACUUAGUCGGUUUUUAAAUUUCUAAAACCAAACCAAACCAAACAAAAAAAUAACCGUCGGUUUUGUUCUUGUCGGUUUGGUUCGGUUUCUUUGGUUUAUAACUUUAGCUAAUGAUAAAAGUUGAAAAUUAAAAAAAACGAAUCCAAUCUAACAUAUGAGAAGUUAACCGGGUGUUGUAUCUCAACCUUGAAACUAAGAUGUCAAUUGAGUGCAGAGGCGGAGCUGACCAUCUUCGUCCGAACUCUCUUCGAUCGAAAAAUAUAUUAUUUAUACAUGAUUAAAAUUAUUUUUUAUGUGGUUAUAGUAGGUGUUGAACCCCCUUCGACUUAGUUUUCUUUGAAUAUUGAACCCUUUACUUGAAAUCCUGUCUCUGUCUCUGACUGAGUGUUAUACUUUAGCAAAGCUAUGAACAAUACCAUAUGAAUGCUUCUAAAAAAUUAUUUUAAAACUACAUUUAACAGAAUGAUAUGAUAAACCCCCAAAAGGUGAGAACAUAAAGUUUUUGCUUAACAAGGUUCAAAAAGAAAGUUAAAAUUAAUGAUUGUCUAUAGUCAAAUGAAUGUCAGCUAUAAAUUUUGAUAUACAACAAGAUAUUAUUUUCACAAUUAGUAUCAUUUGUCAUUCAAAGUGCGAAAUUCACUUAGAAUCUAAUAAGGUACUAUCAACUAGAUGAAGAAAUGACUUAAUGCGUUACGACUAAAGUUAAAUCAUGAUUAAAAUAUAAAAUUUAAUAAAUACUUAUAUUGUAUUUAUGAAUAAUUAUAAUAUAUAUAUAUAUAUAUCAGUUCGGUUUGGUCAUUUUGUCGGUUAUUUUAGAGUAAAACCAAACCAAAUUAUUAUCGGUUUUUUAAAAUUCAAAACCAAACCAAACCAAAACUAACCAAAUAUCGAUUUUUUUUAAUCGGUUUGGUUUGGAUCGCGGUUCAGUUUGGUUAGUAACCAAACCAUGAACACCCCUUCAGUUUGGUUAGUAACCAAACCAUGAACACCCCUACUGUGUUUCAUCUUAUGUAACUACUCCCUCUGGCCCAAUUUAUAUGGCCUCGUGAAUUUAUUUUCUUUCUUUUACCAUAAAUCUAAGGUUCUAUAUAAUUGUCAUGGUCGAUAAAAUCUCUUCGUUCUAUAUAGUUUAUUACUUUUGGUGAAAUGUCUAAAUUUAACACCUCCCGUACGAAAUAUCUUAAUUUUACCCUUGGAGCUCUGCUAGCGUUAAAGCAAAUAUGAGACGAUUUGCUAACUGCAAUGUAUGAAUGACCUCAAGUAUAAUUACAUGGAAUAGAAUUAAAAUAUUUCGUAUAAUAGAGGAAUAUUUUUUAUCCUUCCCCCCCUUAAGGUUUAACUGUUGAAGUCUUCAUAUUCUAAAAAAAGGUUAUGAUUCUUGGUUUCAGAAAAUAGAGGAAUUGGGAGACAACCACUAAACUAGACUUCAAGAAUAUCCAUCAUAAAGGAUGUAGCAAAGGGUCUAAAUUUCUUGCACCAGUCCUUACCAGCACAAAAAGUUCUACAUGGAAACAUCAGAUCAGAAAAUGUCCUAAUCUUGCAAGACCCCCAAAGCAAGAACUACCAUUCCAAGUUGACAGAUUAUGGAUUCUUGUCUUUGUUGCCAUCUAAAGAAUCCAAAAUAUUAGUAACUGAAGUGAAAUCUAUAAUCUUGUACUAGCAAAUUGUUCUGGUCUUCAAAUUACGUCUUCUGAUUCUGAUUUCUGCACAACAUUACACUUACUCAUAGCUGUUCUAGGAAGUUUAGCAAAAUAGAUAUUGGAAAGUAUAAAACCAGUGUAGCUUAAGUAAAGUGUGCUAUGCCGUGGUAUUAACAAUCUGUCAUGGUCUUUGGACUGCUUGUCUUCCCAACUUGAUUUCUUGUGUAGUACUGCACCUGCGUGUAUAAUUCGACCAUUUUGAUUCUGAAGACUACAUAAUCUGAAGUACAGAUGUUUAGGUCUUUUGACACUUUGAUGUAAACUUGAAACUGUGUAUGAGAACAAGAUGAUAUGCUUAGUUUAUUUACAACAUUGAUUUUGUUAAGGGGCUCCUGCUUCUUUUGAGACACCCAACACUAACGUGAAUCAUAGCCUUAUAUUUUUCAAAAUAACCUAAACUGGAAAUUCUGAAUUUUGAACUUCAACUAUUAUCCUUGCAAUGCACCAUGUUUAAUGUCAAUAAUCUUUGAGUAGCUAAUUCUCAAGAGAAAAUAGUUUACUGAUUCCUUGCUUUGUUUUGUGGUGAAUCAGAUAAUCAGAAACAAAGUAAAGAAAAUAAUAGCAGAUUACUUUGCCGUAUCAAAAUAAUAGUAACAAUAAUAAAAAAAAAUAGAAGUGGAUUACACAUCAAUUAUAGUUUGUCAAUGCUUUCAGGCUCUCAAUAGGGGAUUGCAGUAUACUUGGUAUCGUAAUUGUGCUUUUCUUUUUCUUCUGUUUUGGCAGAGAAACCACUUUUGGUGCCUUGCAGGAAGACAUAAUUGAUAAAUCCUAAAGAGACAUGGACCAAGGAGAUGAGAAGGAGGAUAUGCUCCGGAAGCUGGAGAAGAAGUCCAAGAAAAGUAAUAAGAAUGCUGCCACCAGCGGUCUUGGAGGAGAGAGUGAUGGGUGUGAAGUUAAGAAAAAGAAAAAAAGAAAAGGUGGAGAACAUCCUGGAAAGUGCAACAAAGACAAUGAUGAAGAUGUUGUGAAGUAUGUUGAACGAAAGAAAAAUAAUAAGCUAAAGAAAAGCUGCUUGAAUGAACCACCUUUAGACUUCAAAAUUAGUGCUCCUGCAAGUGCAAGUGAAAUGCGGGACAGUGAAAAAGUGGUUGAGACCCUUGGUGAAAUCUCUAGUGGAGACGUUGUGGACGAGAUUAGGAGGAAGAAGAAAUCCAAGAAAAACGUCAAGACUACCAAUGUUGUAGGAGUGGCAAACACUGAUAUUGAAGCUAAGACUGAUGAUUGUGACCUCAAGAGAAAGAAAGAAAAGAAACAUGGAAAACAUUCUGAGAAGUUUAAUGAAGACAGCGAUGAGGUUGCUUUGAGAAUUGUUGAAGGAAAGAAGAGUAGGAAGUUGAAGAAAAGCCGCGUGGCUGAGCAGGAGAAAAUGCAUGAUACUGAGGAUGUACAGGAAGAUAUUGUUGCUGAAGUCGACGAAGGUGAUAUUUCUUCGCCUAUCAAGAUUGAAGAAAAAAACAGAACAGACAAUGGGAAUAUUAAAAAGAGGAAAAAGGUAAAAUCCGGACACAGCUCUGAAGAUCCUACGCAUGAGAUUGAAGAAAAAAACAGAACAGACAAUGGGAAUAUUAAAAAGAGGAAAAAGGUAAAAUCCGGACACAGCUCUGAAGAUCCUACGCAUGAGAUUGAAGAAGAAAACAGAACAGACAAUGGCAAUAUCAAAAAGAAGAAAAAGGUAAAAUCAGGACACAGCUCCGAAGAUCCUAAGCAUGAGAUUGAAGAAGAAAACAGAACAGACAAUGGCAAUAUCAAAAAGAAGAAAAAGGUAAAAUCCGGACACAGCUCUGAAGAUCCUACGCAUGAGAAGAGUGCAAAGAAAGUGAGAUUUUCUGGUCAUGUUCAGAUUUUCCCUUCUUCUGAUGAUCCAAGUGAUGAGAAGCACGAGAUAGAGGAUGAAAAUUUACUGCGUGGCAAGCGAUUCUCAAAGCUAGAAGAUGAAAUUGUCAAAGAGGCUGUUCAUAAAUAUGUAGAUUUACAUAACUUGGGCGAAGAAGGGCUGAAAAAGAUUUUAAAUUCUAGAUCUUAUCCUGAAAUAAAGGGUUG